RNAcentral lists this antisense RNA (69 nucleotides) under Actinosynnema mirum DSM 43827. RNAcentral describes it as "ASpks TB sRNA". It matches the Rfam family "ASpks TB sRNA". The record is from Rfam by way of RNAcentral. Lineage: Bacteria; Bacillati; Actinomycetota; Actinomycetes; Pseudonocardiales; Pseudonocardiaceae.
CUUGAGCGAGCCCAGCCACGCGGGUCGGGCGCGGUUCUGGCCGUAGGUGGCGAGCAGCGCUUGGGCCUC